Molecule: long non-coding RNA, 1148 nt
Filed under: Coturnix japonica (Japanese quail)
Lineage: Eukaryota; Metazoa; Chordata; Aves; Galliformes; Phasianidae
Description: lncRNA (ENSCJPG00005019399.1)
Source: RNAcentral
GCCAGUUGAUGAUGAUGAUUACUUAAUUAAUUGGUAGCAUUCGUCAAAUAAACGGACCACAAUGGUAAGUAUCAGUUAAUACCCAGCUGAGAUUCUACCCCACAGGACCCCUGGGGCGUGCUGCAGCACUGAUCACUUAGUGAUGACACUUGGUCUGACCUUUCUCUUCAUCAGCUUCAAGGCAGACAGCACUAGAAGGACUGGAAUACAGCUGAUGUUCACCCAGACUGUUUUCACAAGUAAAGAUCUUAAAGAGCUGAUUCUUACAUCACUAGGAUUUCUAAACAAGAAAGAAUGAAGACUGAAGAUGGAACAACUUGUUGCAAGCAAGACUACAGCAAACUUAAUUCCCACCUUGUUGCCAUACACUCAUCCUCAGAAGCGGGGUGGCUCUAAAGCUUGUUCUUAACCUGGCAUUUUUUCAAGCCCCUUUAGUUUCAGUUUAAUUCUUAUUGUUGCCACAUCUGUGCUGAUCACAAGAGGAAAAGUGUCUGAGAUAUGAGGUAGGGCUCCUAUGGGUGAGUAACUCUCUGAGACUUCCCAACAGGCACAAAGAGAGGCUAUAACUCUCUCAUCUUACUAAAAAGUUUAAAGAUCGUUGCCUGACACCAUACCAACAUAGUCUAUCAGCUCAGAAGCCAAAAAGCCAUAUGAUUUCAGAUAAAUUUCCCUCCUAGAAGCAGCUGGGCCAUUAAAACAAAAAGCUAGUGGUGAUAAAGGUUACAUACAUGCCCAGAUAAAUUGCUGCUGGAUCAAAGCAUCAGCAGAGAACAAGAUUUCUUAUUUCCCAGGCCUGAGCACCACAAGUAUGCAGAGGUCUCCCUGCCCUAACACGGAAGAGAAGUUUAAAGCAUGAGCCUUUUGAGAUGCUUUGACCCAGGGCCCUGAAUUUAACUCACCUUGGAGACACCGAGAUGACUGCUGGUUUUUUUCCAAGGACAUUUUACAAUGAUGGUACAGAAGAAAGAUGUUGGAAAAAAAAAAACACCCCAAACAGUCUUCUUGGCUGGAAACUAACCUCACUUUAGCUGCAGAUCAGCUACUACCUACCUAAAACUGUUCAGCAGAUGUUACCAGGGUGUUUUACCUUUCGUCACACUUCCAAGAUGGGCCUUCAAAAGCCUGUUUUUACCAUCAGUGGCUCACUA